This 477-nucleotide ribosomal RNA is filed under the name uncultured bacterium. RNAcentral describes it as "partial 16S ribosomal RNA". It matches the Rfam family "Bacterial small subunit ribosomal RNA", at positions 28 to 507 of the family's 1533-position model. The record is from RNAcentral.
GAUGAACGCUGGCGGCGUGCCUAAUACAUGCAAGUCGAGCGAACAGAUGAUGAGCUUGCUCCUCUCACGUUUGCGGCGGACGGGAGAGUCACACGUGGAUAACCUACCUAUCUGACUGAGAUAAUUUCGGGAAACCGGCGCUAAUACCGGAUAAUAUACUGCACCGUAUGGUUCAAUAGUGAAAUACGGUUUUGCUGUAGGUUGGGGCUGGAUGCGCGCCGCAUUAGCUUGUUGGUGCGGUAGUGGCAUACCAAGGCUACGAUGGGUAGCCGGCCUGAGAGGGUGACCGGCCACAGUGGGAAGGAGAUACGGCCCAGACUCCUACGGGAGGCAGCAGUGGGGAAUAUUGCACAAUGGGCGGAAGCCUGAUGCAGCAACGCCGCGUGCGGGAUGACGGCCUUCGGGUUGUAAACCGAUUUCGCCUGUGACGAAGCGUGAGUGACGGUAAUGGGUAAAGAAGCACCGGCUAACUACGUG